AGAGUUUGAUCCUGGCUCAGGAUGAACGCUGGCGGCGUGCUUAACACAUGCAAGUCGAACGAACCUUCGGGUUAGUGGCGGACGGGUGAGUAACGCGUGAGAAUCUGCCCUCAGGAGGGGGAUAACGGCUGGAAACGGCCGCUAAUACCCCAUAUGCCGAGAGGUGAAAUGAAUUUCGCCUGAGGAUGAGCUCGCGUCUGAUUAGCUAGUUGGUGGGGUAAGAGCCCACCAAGGCUUCGAUCAGUAGCUGGUCUGAGAGGAUGAUCAGCCACACUGGGACUGAGACACGGCCCAGACUCCUACGGGAGGCAGCAGUGGGGAAUUUUCCGCAAUGGGCGAAAGCCUGACGGAGCAACGCCGCGUGAGGGAUGAAGGCCUCUGGGCUGUAAACCUCUUUUAUCAAGGAAGAAGAUCUGACGGUACUUGAUGAAUAAGCCACGGCUAAUUCCGUGCCAGCAGCCGCGGUAAUACGGGAGUGGCAAGCGUUAUCCGGAAUUAUUGGGCGUAAAGCGUCCGCAGGCGGCCUCGUAAGUCUGUCGUUAAAGCGUGGAGCUUAACUCCAUUUAAGCGAUGGAAACUGGAAGGCUAGAGUGUGGUAGGGGCAGAGGGAAUUCCCGGUGUAGCGGUGAAAUGCGUAGAUAUCGGGAAGAACACCAGUGGCGAAGGCGCUCUGCUGGGCCAUAACUGACGCUCAUGGACGAAAGCCAGGGGAGCGAAAGGGAUUAGAUACCCCUGUAGUCCUGGCCGUAAACGAUGAACACUAGGUGUCGGGGGAAUCGACCCCCUCGGUGUCGUAGCCAACGCGUUAAGUGUUCCGCCUGGGGAGUACGCACGCAAGUGUGAAACUCAAAGGAAUUGACGG
Molecule: ribosomal RNA, 862 nt
Filed under: uncultured cyanobacterium
Lineage: Bacteria; Bacillati; Cyanobacteriota
Description: bacterial SSU rRNA
Rfam family: Bacterial small subunit ribosomal RNA
Source: RNAcentral